UAUAUUUGAGUGUUAUUGCACUAAAAUUUUUGAAAUUUUAAGUAAUAAAUAUAUUUUUAUUAAAUAUAA
RNAcentral lists this transfer RNA (69 nucleotides) under Dryocosmus liui. RNAcentral describes it as "tRNA-Gln". The record is from RNAcentral. Lineage: Eukaryota; Metazoa; Arthropoda; Insecta; Hymenoptera; Cynipidae.